Molecule: ribosomal RNA, 117 nt
Filed under: Danio rerio (zebrafish)
Lineage: Eukaryota; Metazoa; Chordata; Actinopteri; Cypriniformes; Danionidae
Source: RNAcentral
UUUGUCUACAAUACAAAUGUUGUUACGCAGAUUUGGUCGCCCAGUGAAGCUAAGCAGGGCGUUGCCGGUUUGUAUCUGGAUGGGAGACCACAUGGGAAAGCUAGGUUGUUGCCGGAA